Molecule: ribosomal RNA, 728 nt
Filed under: uncultured bacterium
Lineage: Bacteria
Description: bacterial SSU rRNA
Rfam family: Bacterial small subunit ribosomal RNA
Source: RNAcentral
AACGAACGCUGGCGGCAUGCCUAACACAUGCAAGUCGAACGCUGCACCGGGGCUUGCCCUGGUGUGGAGUGGCGCACGGGUGAGUAGCGCGUGGGAACCUGUCCUCUUGUGGGGGAUAACCGAGGGAAACUUCGGCUAAUACCGCAUGCGCCCGGUGGUGCUCCUUUGGGAGCGAUCUCCGGGGAAAGAUUUAUCGCAGGAGGAGGGGCCCGCGUCGGAUUAGCUUGUUGGCGGGGUAACGGCCCACCAAGGCUUUGAUCCGUAGCUGGUCUGAGAGGAUGAUCAGCCACACUGGGACUGAGACACGGCCCAGACUCCUACGGGAGGCAGCAGUGGGGAAUAUUGGACAAUGGGCGCAAGCCUGAUCCAGCAAUGCCGCGUGAGUGAUGAAGGCCUUCGGGUUGUAAAGCUCUUUCGCCCGCGACGAUGAUGACGGUAGCGGGAGAAGAAGCCCCGGCUAACUUCGUGCCAGCAGCCGCGGUAAUACGAAGGGGGCGAGCGUUGUUCGGAUUUACUGGGCGUAAAGGGCGCGUAGGCGGCGUGGGAAGUCAGGCGUGAAAGCCCCGGGCUCAACCUGGGAACUGCGCUUGGGACUCUCAGGCUGGAGUUCGGGAGAGGAGCGUGGAAUUCCCAGUGUAGAGGUGAAAUUCGUAGAUAUUGGGAAGAACACCGGUGGCGAAGGCGGCGGUCUGGACCGAGACUGACGCUGAGGCGCGAAAGCGUGGGGA